RNAcentral lists this ribosomal RNA (845 nucleotides) under uncultured bacterium. Its description in RNAcentral is "bacterial SSU rRNA". It matches the Rfam family "Bacterial small subunit ribosomal RNA", at positions 8 to 828 of the family's 1533-position model. The record is from RNAcentral.
AGAGUUUGAUCCUGGCUCAGAAUCAACGCUGGCGGCGUGCCUCAGACAUGCAAGUCGAACGCGAAAGUCCCCUUCGGGGGACAAGUAGAGUGGCGUCCGGGUGAGUAACACGUAGGUAAUCUACCUUCGGGUGGGGAAUAACGCAGGGAAACUUGCGCUAAUACCGCAUAAUGCAGCGGCACCACAUGGUGACAGUUGUUAAAGCGGGGGAUUUUCGAACCUCGCGCCUGAAGAGGAGCCUGCGGCAGAUUAGCUAGUUGGUAGGGUAACGGCUUACCAAGGCGACGAUCUGUAGCCGGCCUGAGAGGGCGGUCGGCCACACUGACACUGACAUACGGGUCAGACUCCUACGGGAGGCAGCAGUCGGGAAUUUUGGGCAAUGGGCGAAAGCCUGACCCAGCAACGCCGCGUGAAGGAUGAAAUCCUUCGGGAUGUAAACUUCGCAAGAAUAGGAAGAAUGAACGAGUACUAAUACUGCUCGUGAUGACGGUACUAUUUGUAAGCUCCGGCUAACUCCGUGCCAGCAGCCGCGGUAAUACGGGGGGAGCAAGCGUUGUUCGGAUUUACUGGGCGUAAAGGGCGCGUAGGCGGCCAGCGCAAGUCAGUUGUGAAAUCUCCGGGCUUAACUCGGAACGGUCAACUGAUACUGCGCGGCUAGAGUGCGGAAGGGGCAACUGGAAUUCUCGGUGUAGCGGUGAAAUGCGUAUAUAUCGAGAGGAACACCUGCGGCAAAUGCUGGUUGCUACCCCGACACUAACACUUAUGCUCGAAAGCCAAGGGAGCGUACUGGGAUUAGAUACCCCGGGUAGUCCUGGCCUUAAACGAUCCCAUGCUUGUUGUCUGGA